Molecule: ribosomal RNA, 497 nt
Filed under: uncultured bacterium
Lineage: Bacteria
Description: partial 16S ribosomal RNA
Rfam family: Bacterial small subunit ribosomal RNA
Source: RNAcentral
GAUGAACGCUGGCGGCGUGCCUAAUACAUGCAAGUCGAGCGAACAGACGAGGAGCUUGCUCCUCUGACGUUAGCGGCGGACGGGUGAGUAACACGUGGAUAACCUACCUAUAAGACUGGGAUAACUUCGGGAAACCGGAGCUAAUACCGGAUAAUAUAUUGAACCGCAUGGUUCAAUAGUGAAAGACGGUUUUGCUGUCACUUAUAGAUGGAUCCGUGCCGCAUUAGCUAGUUGGUAAGAUAACGGCUUACCAAGGCAACGAUGCGUAGCCGACCUGAGAGGGUGAUCGGCCACACUGGAACUGAGACACGGUCCAGACUCCUACGGGAGGCAGCAGUAGGGAAUCUUCCGCAAUGGGCGAAAGCCUGACGGAGCAACGCCGCGUGAGUGAUGAAGGUCUUCGGAUCGUAAAACUCUGUUAUUAGGGAAGAACAAAUGUGUAAGUAACUAUGCACGUCUUGACGGUACCUAAUCAGAAAGCCACGGCUAACUACGUG